GAUUAAGCCAUGCAUGUGUAAGUGUAAAUAUACUAGUUUGGAACUGCGAAUGGCUCAUUAUAUCAGUUAUAGUUUAUUUGGUGAAGUGUACUACUUGGAUAACCGUAGUAAUUCUAGGGCUAAUACAUGAGAAAGUCCUCUGGUGAGGUGUGUUUAUUAGAAUGAAAACCAUAUGCCUCGGCAUGAUAGUGAGUAAUAGUAACCUAUCGUAUCGCAUGCUUAAUGUAGCGAUGAGUCUUUCAAGUUUCUGCCCUAUCAGCUUUCGAUGGUAGUAUAUGGGCCUACCAUG
This 289-nucleotide ribosomal RNA is filed under the name Blastocystis sp. Its description in RNAcentral is "partial small subunit ribosomal RNA". It matches the Rfam family "Eukaryotic small subunit ribosomal RNA", at positions 42 to 348 of the family's 1831-position model. The record is from RNAcentral. Lineage: Eukaryota; Bigyra; Opalinata; Blastocystidae.